CCAAAUAUGCCUGCCUCAUUUGUGAGAACGUGGCCAAGCCAAUGAGAAAGAAGGUGCAGAUCUGAAACCUCCUGGAGUUGGACAAGCCAGAAAUAGGGUGAUAAGUACUACAGACCCUCAUACAAGCUGUUCAGAUGCCUCUCCUUCCUCUAUGGCUACAUGGGCUGCCUGGAGUGUGUUCCAGCUCUCCACAAUACCCACAGGAAUGCCACUGGCUCUGGAAGAGGAAAGGGAUUGAUGGUGGUAACUGAAUCCAUUUUGAUGGUGACCUACGCCAGGCUGAUGUCAUUCAUUGGAAACUGCAGCAAACUUGGCUAUUCUUUUACCAAUGGGGUAUUGGUUUUUUGAGACUGUCUUUGGUGUAUAAGUACCUCAUCCAAAAAAAAUAUGUCAUUAUUGAAGAUUCCAUUUCAGUCCACUAUAUUUUUGGACAUUUUCACCAAAAAAAUUAAUUACUCCUAAAUAGCAUUACAUGAUUUUGAAUAUUUAGUGUCUGAGGAACUCUGAAAGCUUUAUUGGACUGAUAGAUAUGCCUUUCAGACCUCAUAUCAGAAUGAUCGAAUUUCCUUAAAACUGAAAAGUAAAUACUGCUGAGUCCAUUGAACAAUGUAAUCAAGUGAGGACUGAUAUGGCUUCAUGUAUAUUUAACCCCAGGUGGCAGUAUCCUCUCCUCCUACUAUCCUUUUCCCUCUUGGUCACGAGCCUUGGCUCAGAAUGACCUUUAGCUCUUCCUCAAGACUCCUCUCAAGGGGCCAGGAUCCACCUUGGAUCUGAGGGUUAUACCUAAGUAGAGGAGUUCCAAAAAUAUUUCACAAUGGUGGCAUUAAUCAAAUCAAUAUAUACCUUCUCCGGUGACUAAUUCUUUUUACCUCUUUUUAUACUGGAACGGUCUGUUUAAAGAUUAGCGGCCACACCUCUCUACACUGACACUUUCCGCAGAAAUAGAAUCCGUUGGUGUACGAUACAUUUCCUCUUUUAUGGUUGCGCAAUGACUUCAAACAGCUAGGAGUGAUUGUAAAUGCAUUGACCAAGAUGAAAUGCCUUACUUCCUUUCUCUGAUGGUUUAUUGCCCCUCACAGAGUUAGGCAUUCUUUUAGCAGUUUGACUCUAUUUCUGAUACAUUUGUCAAAUUAUAAUUGCUUAUGUACCCCCACUAGACCUUGAGGCUGGACUUAGCAUGUUUUUUCCUAUUAUGCAUCUGUUACACAGUCCUGCCCUGGUGCCUGGCGUAUGGUGGAUACUCGAUGUUUUUAAACUGAGUGAAUUUGUCUUGAGUGUUCCUUGAUUUUUGCAGCAGACAGAUACUGGCAGCAGGUGAUCAAAACCAAUUAAGCUUCUAUCUGUACUAGAUUAAGCAUUUCAUCAAUUUCCUAGAAAAAUAUGUGUAAAAUACUUGAUAAAUGACAAUGUUCAUGUAAUUGAUAUUUAAAGAGGAAAGAUGGGGGUGCUGGAGAUAGGGAGACCACUUGGGGAAGAUUUCUGAGUUAGGAGUGUUGUGAGUUAUUUUUUUUUUCAUUCUCUUACAAUCUUAACAGUUUUUCUUACAUUCUUUCCUUUUGAGCUGUGACAUAACCUGAUUAUUAGAGUUGUUUUUUUGCCCCUCCCUAGUUGCUAUAGCUAGUGAAUCAUAGAAACCAGAGAAGGGAAAGACGGGUGAAAUCAUCUGGUUCAUCUCCAAAUUAGGGAGUGGAGCAUUGGGAUUUGGAGAAGACUAACCUCUUGUUUGAAAAAAGAAAAGAAAAAAAAACUUCAACUAGAGCUGAUGAGAGCAGCUCUCCCGUCUGUUCACCUUUUGCUUCUCCCACAAUCCUGAGAUCCAUCCUCUUAGAAGGCAAUCAGGGAUUCUUAUCAAGGGCCCCAGGAGCACCAGAUGCCAAAGUAUUAAGGAGUUGAACAAAAAUUCUACUGCCUGAAUAAUAAAGUUGGAUUAUGAAUCCUUCAGUGAUUGUUUUAAUGGAGUCUUACAGAAUUUGAAACUCUGUUUCAGCAAGGCCUUACGAAUUUAAGAGCUGGCAAAGAACUUACAGAGGAUCUGGGCUAAAAUGUCCAGCUCCCAGCUGCAGAAACUAACAAGGGGUUGUUAAGAAAUUAUAGCAAUGCCUAAGUCAAGAGUACAGACCUCUCAGUGCGUGUCUCUCUGUGUCACAGUCGCACAGUGUCCUCCCUCACAAUGCUCCCCUCCACUGUUGUCUUCUUCCUCUUCCCCUCUUCUUCCUUCUUGUUCUUGUUCUCUUUUGCAGUGUUGUUUGAAGAAACGGCAGAGAUGACUUAGCAUCAGUGUCUGCUCUACGUGUCAGCCAAGCCUCAUCCACUUGUCCUUGGGCCACAGAGGCAAGUGGAUGCCACUUCAGCCACAUCUGCAACCUGUCUACCACAGUCCUUGCUUCCCUCCUACUUGCCUCUGUGUCGUUCCAGCUGCAGAACCUCGACUUCAUCUCCUAUUCAGACUCUGCUCUUGACCUUUGAAUUUUUUCACGAAUCACAGUGUCCUUGGCUCCUCCCUUGGUACCUCGCUUAGUUCUCCCCCAACUUCUGAUGUCUUCCUAUGGUAUCCCUGCACCAGCUCUGACCUCCUACAUUACAAAACCUUCCCCAUACUGCUUGCCCUUUGCCAAUGGCCCCUUACAGAGUGGGGAGGAAUAUUUGUACCCUAUCAAUAGUCAUAGCAUCUGCAUACGUGUGUCCCCAGUGUAAAUCCCCAUAUCUAGUUACCCAAGUAUGUUAUCACAGGCUCACAUUAUGGAAAUCUAAAUUCUUUUGUGAUAUUAGAGAUAUUCAACAGUUGCCUGUUAUUUUUAUUUUGAUAAUAUUCUACAUGGCCUCAUCUCACUUUAAAGUGAUCUUUCUCAAUCGCAGCUAUACAUUUGAAUAACUUAGGAACCAAAAACAUGCUGGGAUCCCAUGAUUCAAAGAGUCUGAAUUAAAGCCACAAUUUUGUAUGGGUAUAUUCAAUUACACAAGGGAUACUCUUUCCAAUUUGGACAAAAAUGGAAUGCAGAGAAAGAAAGUCAAUCGUAUUUGAUAAAAACGAUUUAUUGAUCUAAUAGUCAGAGAGAGAAAGUUGUUAUUCAAAGUACUUCCAUUUAGGAAUCCUAUUGGGCCUGUUUUAAUGAAUAGAUAAAACUAGUUUAUGUUUAGUAACAUCCAUGUGCAUAUAUAUAAUUAAUGUGCCUAAAUCUAUGAAGUUUUCAUAUUAAGGAUUGAGCUUUAGAGCUAAAAGAGAACUUGAAGAUUUUCUCAUUUUGCACAUAAGAAUCAGAAUCAGAGAGCCUAAGGGAUUUGUCCAAGUACACCCAAUUAGGAUAGGAGUUAGGACCAGCCCCUCUGCCUCCUGACAUCUGUGAUGAUUGGCACAGGACCCAGAAAUACAGUGCAAUCCAACAAAGUCAGGGCUGUAAAGAUGCAGAGGCUGUGAUGGGUUCACACUGGGCAAGGUGCUGGAGUUGCAAAGAUGAACAGGAGCUCCCAGCCUGAUGGGGAAGCCUGAGACAUCGACAGUCCUCGUACCAUGAGAUAAAGAUACAGGGUUAAUGAAUAAAGAGGUCUACUCUACCCUUCCCAUAAACCACAUGCCACAAGUUAUCUUAUUUAUUAUAUUAAUUUGCUUAGCAAACCCUUUUUUUUCAUACGCUGUAUGAAAUAUGUAACCUUUGGCCCUGCCUACGUUGUAUUAUCAUAGAUUCUGAUUAGAGGAAUCAAAAUCAAACGAGAUUUUACAAUAUUGGGUGUUUUCUUUGUCAGCAGAGGGUGCUACGCUAUCCAGCUUUUCCUCUAUAGGUUUUUAAAAUUGUCUUUUCUUUAAUAAACUAUAUGAAAAAUACCAUCAGGAAGAUAAAAGUUUUCCCCAAAGCCUGGCACAGGCUGUCAUAAUCUUAAUGUGUAAGAAGGAAGCCCUUUUUUCACUAGCUGUGUAUCUUUUUGCUUUUUUCAACUAUUUUUAAAAUUAUAGAAGUAAUAUGUGUUCACUGUUAAGAAAAUCAACUAAUAUAAAAAUUGCAUAUAAUAAAAUGGGAACAUUCUCCUUUACACAUAUACAUCAAUCUUUGUCUUUCCCCAUAGGUAACUAAUAUCAGUUUGGGGUAUAUCCUUACAUAUGUGUGUCAAAUAUAUGCACACACCCACACACAUAUGUAAAUGUGCAUACAUGUAAAUAUUAACAUAAGUAGAAUCAAAUUAGUCAUAUUAUUCUAAUUGACUUUUUUUCGCUCAGACAACAUAAGGUCUUCAAAGUUUAAAAAAUAUUCGAAACACUCAAAAUGUAUGUAGUGGACAAUUAAUAAAGAUGAAAACUUUCAAAGUG
Equus caballus (horse) is the source of this 4300-nucleotide long non-coding RNA. RefSeq lists it as uncharacterized. Lineage: Eukaryota; Metazoa; Chordata; Mammalia; Perissodactyla; Equidae. The record is from RefSeq and is a predicted model, not a curated record.